Molecule: long non-coding RNA, 2392 nt
Organism: Papaver somniferum (opium poppy)
Lineage: Eukaryota; Viridiplantae; Streptophyta; Magnoliopsida; Ranunculales; Papaveraceae
Exons: 6
Source: RefSeq, a predicted model, not a curated record
AUAAAUUACAAAACCUCCUAAAUUACAAUUACAUCCUCAAUCCGUCUUGAGGAUCACUAGUUCCCGGAGAGACGGAGAUACACAUGUAUCAAAAAUCCAGAUCAAUACUGAUUCCAAUUUCGAUCCAGAGAAAGACAUCUUGAGGUCAUCAAUGUGGUCGAGCAUUUCGUCUUCUGCAUUUUUGUUAGGUAGCAAUAUUUGUAAUGGAUUCGUUGAGACAACUGCUAUAAAUUCAUAAGGCCUUUUGCGAGUGUUAUGCAGAAAAGUAACCCGGCAAAAUAAAGGGAGUUGAUUGUUCAUUAUGUGUUGCAUAUGGUCCUCAACCGUGCCAAUAAUGUGCAAUCUGGGUUGAAAAGUGUGUUUAUAGUGCGUGGAUAUCUUUAGUCAUGUUCCUGAUAUUGAAAUACGCAUCAGAGAGUAUUGUGUUCAUGUCAUUCCAUGUGGAUGGAUCCCUGUGUUACUAAUUUGAGCAGUGUAUUAUAGUUCUUUAAUUGAUUGAGUUAUGGUUUAUGGUUCUGUUUCCAGGUCUUAACAAUUGUUGCAGCUGAUGAACAGGAGAUAUAAUUUUAUUGGCUUUGCAAAGUUGGAGAAAUCAGUUCGAGGUUAAAUACUAGAUUUCCCGCCCAUGAAGCCCCGAAGAGGAACUAAUUAUAUUUUAGCUUUGCAUGCCUGGGAACUAGGAGGCAAAACUGCACAUUUCUGCCGUCUCCAUUCAAUAAAGAACUUUACAAGGAUAUAAUGUUCAAAAGCUGGUGGUGCGCACAAUUAAGACAGUAAAGUUCUAAUUUGCACCAUUGGACCUACUUCAUUUGCAACUUUGGACCUGCUUCAUUAGAACCCCAUAUCUAAUGGGGUUCUAUUUUAUUGUUUACAGAAAGAUAGUGUACGAUAGCAGUGUUUGAAGGAGAUGGUCAAACUUAACACUUACAUGAAUGAUUGUAUUUGUACGACAAAUUUCAAAACCAACACCUAUACCGAGCAGUAGUUUUGCUUACCAGCUAUUUCGCAGUAUCUUUAGAGGAAGUAUACGACGGACCGGACGGAAAACUGAUAAUAGUAGUUGAAGAAUCUUAUGAAAUCACUCUUGAAGCCACGCCACCAUGAUAUCAACUUCUGCAUACCUACCAACACAUGACACGCAUGGAAUAUUGGAAUAUCGGAAAAACCUGUGGUUGUUAUGAUCUCAUCGUUUUAUGUAAAAAGUAAUUAGGUAAAUAAUCCAAACUUCUUUUUCUUUGCACUCCAAUUAAAAUGUUAAAAUUUAACAACUGUUGUUUUUCAUGUGUCCCCCUGUAUGUUUCUGCUCAUGGGAGUACAUUUAACCAUCCUGCGUCACUAUAGCCUAAGUGAGUCUUUAUUUCUCCUAUGGUUUGGAGGUUAAGAAAUAACUUGCUUAUAUUUUACCACCAAUUGCCACCAUCAUUUCUAUGCUUCGUUAAUGACUACCUCACACAAGUGAGUCUUUGUUUCUCCAUUCUCAAAAUUUUCUUUGGCGAUUUUACAACAUUGAAAAUUUUCCAUUCCACCAAGUUGCACUGAUUCCUUACAUUUUCCUUUAGGUAUUGCCUCCCAGCUGUUUAUAGCCUUAUUUUGAUCUCCAUUUGUUAAACUCUCUCCAAUUUUUAGGGAAAUUUUGAGUUUUGUAUGGAUACAUGAUUUGGGUUACAAGGCAUCCUUGGAUAUUUACUGUGCUUCUUGAAAUUUUCUGUUCGUGAGAUAAUAAUUACAAAUUUGUAACAAACAUUUGUUGUGUCAGCAAUUAGGACCCUUUGUUUGCUUAAGCAAUUAACUGACUGGAACUAUUUUAAUUUUCAAUUCAUUUGUUGCAAUAUCUAGAAUAUUAAUUGAGCAUGCAAGGGAUUCGUUUGCUUGGAGAAAAGUCUUUUUUACCAAACUUUGUAACUCAAAGUCGCAGGUUGUUUCCAUCGAAUCUAUUCAAGUUUGAUAAGGGUUCUUAACAGAAGUGACUGUUUGUACACCGAUUAUUCAUCUUAUUUUUAUAGAAGAUUUGCUAAUAUAUCACCGCAUUGCGUAAUUUCAGAAAUCAUUAGUUAAUUGCAGAAAUUUAUCAACGGCUUCUACUACUUGACUUGCAACACGUCAAACAGAAAUUCAGUCGCAGGACACCGUGCUGCAAUCGACGAUAAACUCUCUUUGUGUCAUGGAGUUCAGCUAGCCUUCAGUAAAAACUUGAAGAAUAGCCUAGAGGUCUUCAUCAACUCUUUGGAUUCAGUUUUGAACUUUUUAACAUAUAUGUUUGGAACUUGUGAAGUUCUAUUUUUGGAAAGUCUGAUAGUUCCUUCUUAUUUUUGGAUGUAUUCCAUCUUAUAUUUGUAAUCUUAUUAAUACUUAUUAUCUAAGCGAAGACAUCUUAUUGAAAUCUAUGGGUUGA